RNAcentral lists this long non-coding RNA (1362 nucleotides) under Nothobranchius furzeri (turquoise killifish). RNAcentral's name for it is "lncRNA (ENSNFUG00015008433.1)". Lineage: Eukaryota; Metazoa; Chordata; Actinopteri; Cyprinodontiformes; Nothobranchiidae. The record is from RNAcentral.
AUGAACACCAUGUUCAGACAUAAAGGUGUCCAUAUGUGCUCUUGGCACCAGGAUACCUUAGGCCGCAGCUCGAUGAUCGACUUUGUUGUUGUUUCAUCUGACCUGCGGCCGCUUGUCUUGGACACUCGGGUGAAGUUAGGGGUGGAGCUGUCAACUGACCACUACCUGGUGGUGAGUUUGCUCAGAUGGUGGGGGAGGAUGCUGGUCAGACCAGGCAGGCCCAAACGUAUCGCGAGGGUCAGCUGGGAACGUCUGGCAGAGUCUCCUGUCAGAAGGAGCUUCAAUUCUCACCUCCGAUGGAACUUCCAAAAUGUUCCAGGGGAGGCGGGGGACAUUGAGCCUGAAUGGACCCUGUUCCGUGCCUCCAUUGUUGAGGCGGCCGACCGGAGCUGUGGUCGCAGGAUCGUCGAUGCCUGUUGUGGUGGCCACCCCCGAACCCACUGGUGGACACCGGCGGUUAGGGAUGCUGUCAAGCUGAAGAAAGAGUCCUAUCAGGUCUUUUUGGCCUGUGGGACUCCAGAGGCAGCUGACAGGUACUGGCAGUCCAAGCAGAAUGCGGCUCGGGUGGUCGCCAAGGCAAACAACCCGGGCAUGGGAGGAGUUCGGAGAGACCAUGGAGCAAGACUUCCGUACGGCUUCGAAGAGAUUCUGGUCCACCAUCCAGCACCUCAGGGGGGAAAGCAGUGCGCUACCAACACUAUCUAUAGUGGGGACGGUGUGCUGCUGACCUUUACUCAGGACGUUGUGAAUCGGUGGGCAGAAUACUUCGAAGACCUCCUCAAUCCCACCGACACGUCUUCCAGUGAGGAAGCAGAAUCUGGGGACUUUGAGUUGGCCUCUCAAAUCUCUGGUGCUGAGGUCACUGAGGUGGUUAAAAAGCUCCUCUGUGGCAAGGCUCCAGGGGUGGAUGAGAUCCGCCUGGAGUUCCUUAAGGCUCUGGAUGUUGUGGGGCUGUGUUGGCUGACAGGGCUCUGCAAUAUCGCGUGGACAACGGGGGCAGUCCCACUGGAUUGGCAGACUGGGGUGGUGGUUCCCUUAUUUCAAAACGGGGACCACAGGGUGUGUUCCAACUACAGGGGGAUCACACUCCUGAGCCUUCCUGGUAAGGUCUGUUCAGGGGUUCUGGAGAGGAGGGUCCGUAUGAUUGUUGAUCCUCAGAUUCUGGAGGAGCAAUGUGGUUUUUGUCCUGGCUGUGGAACACUGGACCAGCUCUAUACCCUUAGGGGGAUCCUGGAGGGUGCAUGGGAAUUUGCCCAACCAGUCUACUUGUGUUUCGUGGAUUUGGAGAAGGUAUUUGACCGCGUCCCUCGGGGGGCCCUGUGGGGGUACUCCAGGUGUGUGGGGUACCAGGCCCUCUGGUAA